This 253-nucleotide ribosomal RNA is filed under the name uncultured bacterium. Its description in RNAcentral is "partial 16S ribosomal RNA". It matches the Rfam family "Bacterial small subunit ribosomal RNA", at positions 524 to 776 of the family's 1533-position model. The record is from RNAcentral.
UACGUAGGGUGCAAGCGUUGUCCGGAAUUAUUGGGCGUAAAGAGCUCGUAGGCGGCUUGUCGCGUCGGCUGUGAAAACCUGGGGCUCAACCCCGGGCCUGCAGCCGAUACGGGCAAGCUAGAAUUCGGUAGGGGAGACUGGAAUUCCUGGUGUAGCGGUGAAAUGCGCAGAUAUCGGGAGGAACACCAGUGGCGAAGGCGGUUACCUGGAGCUUUGCUGACGCUGAUGCGCGAAAGCGUGGGGAGCGAUCCGG